UAUCUGUCUCUUUCUCACAACAGUGGUUUAACGUGAGAAAAAACGUUUACACUCUUUUAUCAGCACCCUCUUCAUUGGCUUCGAUGUGUUUGUGCUGGAGCACCGCCAUCUUAAGUAGCCCGCUUAGCUUACUCGUGGAAGUUAUCACCGUGAGGAUUUUACGUUUUUCCGAGGAAAUCCCGUGUUUUUCUACUGUUUACCAAGUUGUGCUUAUAUUAAUCGUUAAUAAACAACAAAUGAAGUAUUCAAUAGCAUAUUGUGGCUUAUGCCAAAGCAAAAAUAGGCCGAAUUUAACCUUUCACCGUUUACCAAGGAACGAAUCUCGGCGAAGGGAAUGGCUACAAAUAAUUGGCAUAGAAAAUAUCCGGCCGGGAACAAAAGACAUCUACCUAUGUGUGCUCAAUGCACUUUGAAGAGAGUGCAUUCAAUAAAACUUUAAAUAUAGUUAGAUGGAGAGAUGAUGCUAUCCCAACAAUAUUUGCAAAGGCAGACCAUCCAUCCCCAUCUGCAUUAAUGGACAUUACAACUACCACUGAUCAACCACCAAACACCAUUGAUCAACCAUCAUGCUCAAGUAAUCCUCCACGAUAAUGUUUAUAUUUUAAGAUUUUAUAAAAAUAGAAUUGCUACUUUGUUAGCAAACAACAUAAAAGAACUGACGGGUUUACAUUGUGGUAAACGAUUCUUUACAUUUCUUUACAUUCUUUACAUAAUCUGUCAAAAUCGACAAAAUCAUCAAAUUUUUGUAAUGAUGAUUCUGUGGACGCAACACGUGAUUUAAACUAAACCUUAGGUCUGUUUGUAUUAGUGUUGAGGUAUCUUGUGCCGAACUUGAGGAACACAUUGUUAUUUGUAUUUAUAGUCCACUCAAUAAUAGUUUUAUUAAUUUCCUGAAUGUAAUAAAUAAAUAAUAAUAAUUUUAUUUAUUUUUUCACAAAAUUUUUACAUUUGGUGCAUGCAAGUAACAGGGUUAACACUUAUACUACUACUUUUAAUAAAAUAGGUAAUUACUGUAAAUUUUGUGAAGACUGGCGCUUGAAAUAGGCUUAAACUGCCUGUCGUACAAGACACCAGGUCUCCACAUCCUAGAUAAGGCUUCUAUUAUAAUUUUAACAAAUUGUGACAUAUAUCUUUGAACUCAGUUCACACACAUAUAAUUAUAUCUAUAGAACCGAGAUGCUUGCGUUGGGUGUAUAAGAUAAACAAUAUAGGAACAUACAAUAUAAAAAAAAAAUAUUUAAGGGCAUACAUAGGUACAUAUAGACACAAACGCAUAUAUAAAUAUUCGUGCAUAAGAAAGUGAUUUUUUUUUCUUUAUUUAAAUUUAUAUUUCUCUUGCGUUGGGGAGCCUUAUGCCUUAUUUUUAUUUUAUUUUAUUUUUGUUAAUAUGUGUUUUGGUUUUUUUUUUCAUUAUUUUAAUGGUGUCAAGAGGUGAUCUAUAUCAUAUUCAUUUAGAUGGAGUAAAUAGUUAAAUUACUUAUCUUUUAAUUGUUUGUUAGUGUACUUAAUAAUAUUUAAUCUGUUUUGAAGGAUGGUAUAUAUUCUUGGGGCUAGAAAGUUGUAUAAUCUUUGAGCAAAGCGAGUCUUACAUAGGGGUACAUUAAACCGAUAUCUUCUAGUGUCAGACAGUAAGGUUUGUGCAGAAUGACGGUGAAA
This is a long non-coding RNA of Amyelois transitella, 1656 nucleotides long. RefSeq lists it as uncharacterized. Lineage: Eukaryota; Metazoa; Arthropoda; Insecta; Lepidoptera; Pyralidae. The record is from RefSeq and is a predicted model, not a curated record. The transcript is spliced from 3 exons.